ACUUUAAUAGCUUAAAUUUAAAGCAUAACAUUGAAGAUGUUAAUAUAAUAUUUAUAUUUUAAAGUA
This 66-nucleotide transfer RNA is filed under the name Phyllodromica sp. Phil. RNAcentral describes it as "tRNA-Phe". It matches the Rfam family "tRNA". Rfam says of the family: Transfer RNA (tRNA) molecules are approximately 80 nucleotides in length. Their secondary structure includes four short double-helical elements and three loops (D, anti-codon, and T loops). Lineage: Eukaryota; Metazoa; Arthropoda; Insecta; Blattodea; Ectobiidae. The record is from RNAcentral.